AUGGAUCCAUGGAUGCAGGCGUAUCUCGAGCGGAUCGACACCAUGCUCGAUGCCUACACAGACGCCACCAGGUCCCUCACCGAGAAAGUGGACGCUCUGGUCGUCGUCUGGCGGCCAGACCUGGAGAAGAGGUCCUCCCACACCGCCGUCGUCCACGGUCCACCGGCGCCGACCUCGGCGCUCGAGACCACUACUGAGGCGUCUGAACCCGUCCCUAACAUCUACUACUCCACCACCAAGGCCCAGGAGAUCCCCACGGUCGCCCAUGAUGCAACUCCGAUAUGCAUUCCGAUGGUGCCUGUCACCUGUUCGACGGAUUGCCCGACCCAGAUCGACGCCAUCGACAGCGCCGACGAAGUCCAUGACGCCGCCAGCGUCGCAACAGAGGUUCGCAACACUACAACCGCACUCGGCCCCGAGCUCGCGGUCGACCUCUGCAACACCUGUGGUCACUAUGGCAAGUUCGACGGCCUCAACAUCCCCGUGAAGGCCAGCAUCAGCCCGCCGCCCCACGUCCAGGAUGCAUUCCCAAAUUCCACAAUCAGCAAUUGUCGUGCCGAUGUUGCCGGGACGGACGAGUACGCACUCGUGGAGGCCACUCCAGACGUCGCCAUUGAGCUUGCCAUCCUCCCAGGCGUCUCCUCCUUCAUGAACAAACUAUUCUGGAAGCAUGACAUGGACGUCUCGCCGCCCACAAGGCACAAAGGGCUGCCAAUACGGCCGACACCAUGGCCGUCAUUUUUGGUGCAUCAUAGUGCAAAGGGGAACGAGAUUCGACCCACUCCGUGGCUAUCGUUUUCUUGCUCUCAUGAAGAUUGGAUCUUUCAGUACUACAGAGGAACAAUGCAAGCACAAAACAUUCGAGCAAGAAUAUCUGAAAGUGCGUCAUCUACCGUCCUUGGUUCAAAAGGUCUAGACAAAAGGCUCCAACAUCAUGCCAUACUACUAAAGCUUGCUCCUGAUCCAUGA
Molecule: ribosomal RNA, 969 nt
Filed under: Triticum aestivum (bread wheat)
Lineage: Eukaryota; Viridiplantae; Streptophyta; Magnoliopsida; Poales; Poaceae
Description: partial small subunit ribosomal RNA
Source: RNAcentral